This 500-nucleotide long non-coding RNA is filed under the name Mytilus galloprovincialis (Mediterranean mussel). Lineage: Eukaryota; Metazoa; Mollusca; Bivalvia; Mytilida; Mytilidae. The record is from RNAcentral.
AAAAAAUAGAAAAAUGACUAAUUAAAACUUAUUGUGCCAAAACAAUCAUGAUAAAUAACACAUUUAAGAGGUAAAUGAUAGGAAUAUAACUUGGUUUUAACAUUUCUAACACGAAGAAACUUGUGGAACUUGUCCUUGUGAAAUUAUGAAUUGACAGAAAAUGCCUUAAAAAAAGCGUCACACUCCUGACAUAUGUAAUGCACUCCCACAUCUAUGAUAUAAACAUAUCACAGUUGUAAUAAUUUUUUUUCUUCUCUUUGGAAUAGCCACUUCUGAAAAAUAAAGAAGAAGAAAAUAUUUAAGUCCUAUGUAUUCUUUGGUAGAUGUUUAAAGACAGUUGUCACACUCCUGACAUUUUUGGGUGCCUCUCUUUGGUGUCCAUUAAAACAAUAAAAUAUGUGAUUUAGAGCACCAACAUACCCUUAAUUAUAGUGCUAAUAUACCAAUACAAACUUAUUUCACAUACUGACAUUAUUGGACUUUAAAACAUGGUUACAAGG